RNAcentral lists this ribosomal RNA (459 nucleotides) under uncultured bacterium. Its description in RNAcentral is "partial 16S ribosomal RNA". It matches the Rfam family "Bacterial small subunit ribosomal RNA", at positions 339 to 795 of the family's 1533-position model. The record is from RNAcentral.
CUACGGGUCGCAGCAGUGAGGAAUAUUGGACAAUGGUCGAAAGACUGAUCCAGCCAUGCCGCGUGCAGGAUGACUGCCCUAUGGGUUGUAAACUGCUUUUAUACGGGAAGAAAAACACCUACGUGUAGGUGACUGACGGUACCGUAAGAAUAAGGACCGGCUAACUCCGUGCCAGCAGCCGCGGUAAUACGGAGGGUCCAAGCGUUAUCCGGAAUCAUUGGGUUUAAAGGGUCCGUAGGCGGGCUAUUAAGUCAGAGGUGAAAGUUUGCAGCUCAACUGUAAAAUUGCCUUUGAUACUGAUAGUCUUGAAUUGUAGUGAAGUGGUUAGAAUAUGUGGUGUAGCGGUGAAAUGCAUAGAUAUCACAUAGAAUACCGAUUGCGAAGGCAGAUCACUAACUAUAUAUUGACGCUGAGGGACGAAAGCGUGGGGAGCGAACGGGAUUAGAUACCCCAGUAGUC